Molecule: long non-coding RNA, 1043 nt
Organism: Oncorhynchus tshawytscha (Chinook salmon)
Lineage: Eukaryota; Metazoa; Chordata; Actinopteri; Salmoniformes; Salmonidae
Source: Ensembl
GACGGUUGUAUGGUACAAUUAUUACAUCGGGUCAGGGGCUGGAUUAAGAAAUAAUACGCCGCGGGGCUUAGAUAUUUUAUAUUAUUAUAAUGGUGAUAACGAAGAUUGGUAUGAGGAUGACAGUAUUGAUUGAAGUGUGAAGAUGUGAUCCGAUAGCGAUUUUGACCAUGACAGUUAUAAUUUGAUUCAUUCAAAAAUAAAGUUGCCACGUAUCACCAUGAGGAAACAGUGUAUAUCCUAGAUAUUUUAAAAAAAAAACACAUUGUGGAGGAUACAGCAAAAGUGCCCGAGGAAGAGCUCCGGGCCCCAUCUACAUUAUCUGAUUGACACUUCUCCCUUCCUGUACCAGCAACACUCCUUCCACUGCCACUGCCUUUCUGAACUGCCUCAACACCCGGUCAGCUGUGGAACACCAGCACUUUCCACUGCCAGAACCCAGAAUGGAUUAUUGUUUUCAAAGCAUAUUUGAAAUUCUCUUUGUAAUGAAAAGCACUAUAUACAAAAAAAAUAUUAGAUUGUGUAACUAUUCUACUUAGAAGCAUUCAUUUUUUGAAAGUACAUUUUUGAAAGGGGUUUGCUCUGCAAGACAUUACGGUAACAGUCUAGCCAACAAUAUCCUGAUUCACAACUAUUUGCACUAGCUCCUCCCAGUAACAUACUGUACAAGCUGUGGGCUUCCUCUGCACACCUCGCUCUCUCUCUCUCUCACACACACAACCACAUUACCAUAAAUUAUUGUACAUCCACAUAGUGAAACCAAAAAUCUAUCAGAAGGACUUGAUAUACUCUUCUUUCUCUCUAGACUGAAAGCUGUAACAGGGCGUCUACUGUUGAGCAUUAGAUAAGUUAAAUACAAAGUAAUAAAUGAGUGUAAUACUGGUUCCACUGCACCAAUAUCAUCAGCUUCCUAUGAUGACGCUCUUGGUAAUAAAGAUUGUCCCACCAAAGGACCUUUGACCCGAUCCAUUUGAAGUGGAAGCUGGGUCCUUUAGUCUCAAUAGGUUUAUGGUGCCUCAAAUAGCUAACAAGUUAUUUAAUUAAAC